RNAcentral lists this ribosomal RNA (423 nucleotides) under uncultured bacterium. RNAcentral's name for it is "partial 16S ribosomal RNA". It matches the Rfam family "Bacterial small subunit ribosomal RNA", at positions 360 to 775 of the family's 1533-position model. The record is from RNAcentral.
AAUCUUCCGCAAUGGACGAAAGUCUGACGGAGCAACGCCGCGUGAGUGAUGAAGGUUUUCGGAUCGUCCCACUCUGUUGUUAGGGAAGAACAAGUAUCGGAGUCACUGCCAGUACCUUGACGGUACCUGACGAGAAAGCCACGGCUAACUACUUGCCAGCCGCCGCGGUAAUACGUAGGUGGCAAGCGUUGUCCGGAUUUAUUGGGCGUAAAGCGCGCGCAGGCGGUCUUUUAAGUCUGAUGUGAAAUCUUACAGCUUAACUGUAAGCGGUCAUUGGAAACUGGGAGACUUGAGUGCAGAAGAGGAGAGUGGAAUUCCACGUGUAGCGGUGAAAUGCGUAGAGAUGUGGAGGAACACCAGUGGCGAAGGCGGCUUUCUGGACUUAUACUGACGCUGAGGAACGAAAGCGUGGGGAGCAAACAG